CCCUUAGAUGUCCGGGGCCGCACGCGCGCUACAAUGGAUGAAUCAACGCGUCGUCCUGGCCCGAAAGGGUUGGGGAACCGCUGAACCUCAUCCGUGGUUGGGAUUGGGGUUUGUAAUUAUUCCCCAUGAACUAGGAAUUCCCAGUAAGCGCGAGUCAUAAGCUCGCGCUGAUUACGUCCCUGCCCUUUGUACACACCGCCCGUCGCUACUACCGAUUGGAUGGCUUAGCGAGAAUUUUGGAUCGGAGCCCGGGUGGUCGGCAACGGUCGCCCGGGAGAUCUGAGAAAUCAUUCCAGCUUGGUCAUCUAGAGGAAGUAAAAGUCGUAACA
This 329-nucleotide ribosomal RNA is filed under the name uncultured eukaryote. Its description in RNAcentral is "partial 18S ribosomal RNA". It matches the Rfam family "Eukaryotic small subunit ribosomal RNA", at positions 1470 to 1796 of the family's 1831-position model. The record is from RNAcentral.